This 507-nucleotide ribosomal RNA is filed under the name uncultured eukaryote. RNAcentral describes it as "bacterial SSU rRNA". It matches the Rfam family "Eukaryotic small subunit ribosomal RNA", at positions 592 to 1071 of the family's 1831-position model. The record is from RNAcentral.
CAAUAGCGUAUAUUAAAGUUGUUGCAGUUAAAAAGCUCGUAGUUGGAUUUCUGGGAGGGUGCCAAUGUCCGCCGACGUGCGUGCGCAGCGGCGCCCUCUCAUCCUUCUGUUAACGUCUCUCAGCAUUUAUUUGCCGGUGGCGGGCUCAGAUAUUUUACCUUGAGAAAAUUAGAGUGUUUCAGGCAGGCUAGGCCGGAAUACAUUAGCAUGGAAUAAUGGAAUAGGACUUCGGUCUCUUUGUUGGUUUGAGGGACUGCAGUAAUGAUUAAUAGGGAUAGUUGGGGGCAUUAGUAUUUAAUUGUCAGAGGUGGAAUUCUCGGAUUUGUUAAAGACUAACUUAUGCGAAAGCAUUUGCCAAGGGAUUUGUUUCUAAUUAACUACGAAACGAAAACGUAAAGGGGUUAAGGGGUACUAACGAAACGAACGUACUACGAAGUAACCGUUACCCGUUCGUAGGAACGUACGUCCGAACCGGAACGGACCAACCAACGGGGAAGGGGUAAGGUA